This 405-nucleotide ribosomal RNA is filed under the name uncultured Rothia sp. RNAcentral describes it as "bacterial SSU rRNA". It matches the Rfam family "Bacterial small subunit ribosomal RNA", at positions 354 to 771 of the family's 1533-position model. Lineage: Bacteria; Bacillati; Actinomycetota; Actinomycetes; Micrococcales; Micrococcaceae. The record is from RNAcentral.
GUGGGGAAUAUUGCACAAUGGGCGCAAGCCUGAUGCAGCGACGCCGCGUGAGGGAUGACGGCCUUCGGGUUGUAAACCUCUGUUAGCAUCGAAGAAGCGAAAGUGACGGUAGGUGCAGAGAAAGCGCCGGCUAACUACGUGCCAGCAGCCGCGGUAAUACGUAGGGCGCGAGCGUUGUCCGGAAUUAUUGGGCGUAAAGAGCUUGUAGGCGGUUGGUCGCGUCUGCUGUGAAAGGCCGGGGCUUAACUCCGGUUUUGCAGUGGGUACGGGCUAACUAGAGUGCAGUAGGGGAGACUGGAAUUCCUGGUGUAGCGGUGGAAUGCACAGAUAUCAGGAGGAACACCGAUGGCGAAGGCAGGUCUCUGGGCUGUAACUGACGCUGAGAAGCGAAAGCAUGGGGAGCGA